This 672-nucleotide long non-coding RNA is filed under the name Ananas comosus (pineapple). Its description in RNAcentral is "long non-coding RNA (ACOM_LNC028582)". Lineage: Eukaryota; Viridiplantae; Streptophyta; Magnoliopsida; Poales; Bromeliaceae. The record is from RNAcentral.
UAUAUAUUGCAGGUAGGGGUGAAAAUCUAGCUUGCUUUUCGCGAGUCAGCUUGUGUUCGGCUCUAAAUGAGGUCCAGAUCGAAUCGCUCGUUUAGUAAACGAGCCGAAUACGAGCUAAAUUUUUAAACUUAUUUAAUAAACAAGCCAAACAUGAGCUGGCGUCAACUCGCUUGUUCGGCUCGAUAACAGCUCGAAUACAUAUAUUUUAUAUUAUAUAAUAUAUUUAAUUUAUAUUUAUAUAUAUUUGUAUGUAUAAAUAAAUAAUUAUAUAUAAUAUAUAUUUUUAUUAUUUAAUUUUUAGUAAAAGAAAUAUAAAGCCGAGCUCAAUUAUAUGAUGCUGGAUUAACCAAUCAUCUUAUAAAUUCCUAUGUUGAAGAACUAUUCAAAGCAAUAAUGUGACAGUGUUAGAAUCUAAUCAAAAGGAAUCAUGUGACUGUUUUAAAAUGUGGUUGAGAAAUUGUACAAAACAUGCAUUACAUGAUCAAAAGAAGGCUUAUUGAUCAUACAAAAAUAACCAAACUUAUUCUCCUUGUCAAUUUUAAGACUUAUUCUUCUCCUCAAGGAAUAAAAAGCAACAAUAAAACAGGUUCUUAUUCUCCUCGUCAAUUUUAUUCUGAUUUAUGCUUGCUUCAAAUGAUAACAACCCUGAUAUAGCAUAGCAGUAGCUUCCCC